AGCUCCAAUAGCGUAUAUUAAAGUUGUUGCAGUUAAAAAGCUCGUAGUUGGACUUUGGGGCGUUGUGCACGGGCCGCCGAAAGGCGUGCGCUGGGCGCGGCGCUCUUCCUUCCGUAGACUGCGUUUGCUCUUAGUUGAGUGGGCGUUUGGAUGCGGAUCGUUUACUUUGAAUAAAUUAGAGUGUUCAAGGCAGGCUUUUGCUUGAAUACAUUAGCAUGGAAUAAUGAAAUAGGACUGAGGUUUUAUUUUGUUGGUUUCUGAAACCACAGUAAUGAUUAAUAGGGAUAGUUGGGGGCAUUAAUAUUUAAUUGUCAGAGGUGAAAUUCUUGGAUUUAUGAAAGAUUAACUUCUGCGAAAGCAUUUGCCAAGGAUGUUUUCAUUAAUCAAGAACGAAAGUACG
This 400-nucleotide ribosomal RNA is filed under the name phytoplankton environmental sample. RNAcentral describes it as "partial small subunit ribosomal RNA". It matches the Rfam family "Eukaryotic small subunit ribosomal RNA", at positions 587 to 993 of the family's 1831-position model. The record is from RNAcentral.